RNAcentral lists this ribosomal RNA (391 nucleotides) under Rhizosolenia sp. RNAcentral's name for it is "partial small subunit ribosomal RNA". It matches the Rfam family "Eukaryotic small subunit ribosomal RNA", at positions 582 to 975 of the family's 1831-position model. Lineage: Eukaryota; Bacillariophyta; Coscinodiscophyceae; Rhizosoleniales; Rhizosoleniaceae. The record is from RNAcentral.
AUUCCAGCUCCAAUAGUGUAUAUUAAAGUUGUUGCAGUUAAAAAGCUCGUAGUUGGAUUUCUGGCGGGAGCGAUCGGUCCUUCACUCAGUGUUGGAACCUGAUUGUCUCCUGCCAUCCAUGGAGAAAACUUAUCUGGCAUUAAGUUGUCGGGUAGGCAAUCUCCAUCUUUUACUGUGAAAAAAUUAGAGUGUUCAAAGCAGGCUUAUGCCGUUGAAUAUAUUAGCAUGGAAUAAUAAGAUAGGACUAUGGUACUAUUUCGUUGGUUUGUGCACCAUGGUAAUGAUUAAUAGGGACAGUUGGGGGUAUUCGUAUUCCAUUGUCAGAGGUGAAAUUCUUGGACUUAUGGAAGACGAACUACUGCGAAAGCAUUUACCAAGGAUGUUUUCAUUG